AGGAAACCUGGGGUCUUGGGACAAAAGGACAAUCCAGGAAAAAAAACCUCAGCAAUGUCCUAAUCACAUGAUGCUAACAUGGGAGGGAGCUUACAAAGUUCUUUCACAUCCAUUCCUCGGUUCUUAUAACAGCCUCAUGAGUGGGCAGGGCAGGGUUUAUAAUUCUCUUUUUACAAGUGAAGGAACUCAGGCUCAGAGCUGGCAGGACUUGUCUCCAAGUUCUCAGGGGAGUCUGGAUUAGAACCCAGGGCUCUGGAUUGGCCCAAGCCACCCCAGGAACUAGACUAGAGGCUACCACUGUUUGGCCCACACCCCUUUACCACUGCCACACCCAGGAAAAACAAGGUCCCGUAGAACAGCCGUGUAGCACCAUUCAGAACUGCCCUCUGCCCCGUGCCAAGCAGAAAAAGUGUGAGGUCUGCGAGUCAUCCUGCUACAGCCGGAGACUCAGCCUGAACCAGUCAGCGUGAAUGUGAGACCCUGCGAACAUGGAGGCCGGUAAAGAGGGGGAAUUUCAUGCGGAGAAGAGCAGCCUGUUCACUUCUAACUUCCCUUUCCGCUGAGAGCCACCCA
RNAcentral lists this long non-coding RNA (573 nucleotides) under Homo sapiens (human). Its description in RNAcentral is "HSALNT0005209". The record is from RNAcentral. Lineage: Eukaryota; Metazoa; Chordata; Mammalia; Primates; Hominidae.